RNAcentral lists this ribosomal RNA (253 nucleotides) under uncultured bacterium. RNAcentral describes it as "partial 16S ribosomal RNA". It matches the Rfam family "Bacterial small subunit ribosomal RNA", at positions 524 to 776 of the family's 1533-position model. The record is from RNAcentral.
UACGAAGGCCUCAAGCGUUAUCCGGAAUUAUUGGGCGUAAAGCGUCCGCAGGCGGUUUAGAAAGCGUGUCGUUAAAUUUCAGGGCUCAACCCCGAAACAGCGAUGCGAACUUCUAGACUAGAGUGUGGGAGAGGCAUCUGGAAUUGUCGGUGUAGUAGUAAAAUGCGUUAAUAUCGACAGGAACACCAAAAGCGAAAGCAUGAUGCUGGAACACUACUGACGCUCAGGGACGAAAGCGUGGGGAGCGAAUCGG